Molecule: small RNA, 649 nt
Filed under: Pongo abelii (Sumatran orangutan)
Lineage: Eukaryota; Metazoa; Chordata; Mammalia; Primates; Hominidae
Description: processed transcript
Source: RNAcentral
GUCCUUGGGUCUGUGUGUGCUUUGGCCUGGCUGCCCGGUGUCCCCUGUGCUGAUUCAUGAGUCCCUGGGAAUGUAGAAAGUAGAAUAUUCAUUAGGAAACAGGACCCCAAUGAGGAUGAGCCAAACAUCCAAGUGCUCCUUGAGCACCGCUUCUACAAGGAGAAGAGCAAGAGCGUCAAGCAGACCUGUGACAAGUGUAACACCAUCAUCUGGGGGCUCAUUCAGACCUGGUACACCUGCACAGGGUGUUAUUACCGCUGUCACAGCAAGUGCUUGAACCUCAUCUCCAAGCCCUGUGUGAGCUCCAAAGUCAGCCACCAAGCUGAAUACGAACUGAACAUCUGCCCUGAGACAGGGCUGGACAGCCAGGAUUACCGCUGUGCCGAGUGCCGGGCGCCCAUCUCUCUGCGGGGUGUGCCCAGUGAGGCCAGGCAGUGCGACUACACCGGCCAGUACUACUGCAGCCAUUGCCACUGGAAUGACCUGGCUGUCAUCCCUGCACGCGUCGUACACAACUGGGACUUUGAGCCUCGAAAGGUUUCUCGCUGCAGCAUGCGUUACCUGGCGCUGAUGGUGUCUCGGCCCGUGCUCAGGCUCCGGGAGAUCAACCCUCUGCUGUUCAGCUAUGUGGAGGAGCUGGUGGAGAUUC